This 823-nucleotide unclassified non-coding RNA is filed under the name uncultured Russula. RNAcentral describes it as "sequence contains ITS1, 5.8S rRNA gene and ITS2". The stretch from base 462 to 615 matches the Rfam family "5.8S ribosomal RNA". The record is from RNAcentral. Lineage: Eukaryota; Fungi; Basidiomycota; Agaricomycetes; Russulales; Russulaceae.
CAUUAUCGUACAACCGAGGUGCAAGGGCUGUCGCUGACCUCCAAAGGUUGUGCACGCCCGAGCGCUCUCACACAAUCCAUCUCACACCCCUUUGUGCAUCACCGCGAGGGUCCCAGUGGCUGUAACGGCCCCAAGGUGGGAAUGCGAGGCGAUGUUUUCCCCAACGGAGUCCCGUGCUCGUGCGCCGAGUUCAAGACUGUCCCCUCCAGAAAACUUUGGUGUCCAUCGUCCCUCACAGCGUAGGCUGUGGUCGGAUUUGGAGUAAUCGGCCCUUGUCUAGCCAGGGAAGCAAUUCCGCAGCUAGCAGGACUCACCGAGUUGGUCUUAGGAGAUCAGGGCACGUCAUCUGUCGCGCGGGUGCGCCGUGUCCCUCGUAGACCUUUAUACCUCGCGUUUUCACACAAACCUCUGAUACAGUGUAGAAUGUUAUUUUACCUUUUGCGGUCACACGCAAUCAAUACAACUUUCAACAACGGAUCUCUUGGCUCUCGCAUCGAUGAAGAACGCAGCGAAAUGCGAUACGUAAUGUGAAUUGCAGAAUUCAGUGAAUCAUCGAAUCUUUGAACGCACCUUGCGCCCCUUGGCAUUCCGAGGGGCACACCCGUUUGAGUGUCGUGAAAACCAUCAAAACCUUUUUCUCGCGAGCUCCUCUCAAAUGAAUCAGUGGGGUCCGCUUUGCCGAUCCUUGACGUGAUAAGAUGCUUCUACGUUUUGGAUUUGGCACUGUCCCUUGGAUGCCUGCUUCUAACCGUCCCAUGGACAAAGAUGGUGCUCCGGUCAACCGCCGUCUACGUUGGCGGGGGGAGGCUGGACCCACAAGAAG